AUGUGUUCGACGAUAUGCCCAAAGGUAGAAAAUUUCCCCAACUUUUUUUUCUUGUCAUUUUUUGAAUGCAUACAAAUAGAUAGCUUAUUUGCAUUGUUCUAUAUAUUUUGUAGUCUCAGCGAUGAUGCAUACAUGUCAACUAUGGGUGUUGGCUCCAACAAUUUGCAUUGGUCUCAAACCAAUGACAUGCACUUUGAUGACCAUGAGUUCGAGGUGGACGAGGAUGCUGAGGGCAUUGUCGACGCGCCGAAAGGAAAAGCGGGCAAUUAAACCAACGCCGGAGACAUCUUACUAUGCAAUACUUGGUUGCAAGUGUCGAGGGAUCCAUCCGUUGGAGGUGAUCAAAGUGGAGAUGCUUAUUAG
This 363-nucleotide ribosomal RNA is filed under the name Triticum aestivum (bread wheat). RNAcentral's name for it is "partial small subunit ribosomal RNA". The record is from RNAcentral. Lineage: Eukaryota; Viridiplantae; Streptophyta; Magnoliopsida; Poales; Poaceae.